GUGCAAAGGUAGCACAAUCACUUGUCCCCUAAAUGAGGACCCGUAUGAAAGGCAACAUGAGAGAAAACCUGUCUCCUAAGGUCCGCCAAUGAAAUUGAUUUAUCAGUACAAAAGCUGAUAUAACAAAGCAAGACAAAAAGACCCUAUGGAACUUUAACAAAUUGAUUAUAGACAAUAAACAAUAGUUUCAGUUGGGAUAACUUUAGAAAAAAUAAACCUCUAACACCAUCUAGACCAACUAGUCUUGACGCACUAACGCACGACCCAGUAAUACUGAUUAACGAAACAAGCUACCCUAGGGAUAACAGCGCUACCUUCUCAAAGAGUCCAUAUCAACAAGAAGAUCUACGACCUCGAUGUUGGAUCAGGGUACCCAGACGGUGUAGCAGCUGUCAACGGUUCGUUUGUUCAACGACUAAC
This 420-nucleotide ribosomal RNA is filed under the name Chamaeleo chamaeleon (common chameleon). RNAcentral describes it as "partial large subunit ribosomal RNA". It matches the Rfam family "Bacterial large subunit ribosomal RNA", at positions 1948 to 2592 of the family's 2925-position model. The record is from RNAcentral. Lineage: Eukaryota; Metazoa; Chordata; Lepidosauria; Squamata; Chamaeleonidae.